GAUGAACGCUGGCGGCGUGCCUAAUACAUGCAAGUCGAGCGGAUGAUGGUAGCUUGCUACCUGAUUCAGCGGCGGACGGGUGAGUAAUGCCUAGGAAUCUGCCUGGUAGUGGGGGACAACGUUUCGAAAGGAACGCUAAUACCGCAUACGUCCUACGGGAGAAAGUGGGGGAUCUUCGGACCUCACGCUCUCAGAUGAGCCUAGGUACGAUUAGCUAGGUGGUGAGGUAAAGGCUCACCAAGGCGACGAUCGUUAACUGGUCUGAGAGGAUGAUCAGUCACACUGGAACUGAGACACGGUCCAGACUCCUACGGGAGGCAGCAGUGGGGAAUAUUGGACAAUGGGCGAAAGCCUGAUCCAGCCAUGCCGCGUGUGUGAAGAAGGUCUUCGGAUUGUAAAGCACUUUAAGUUGGGAGGAAGGGCAGUAAGUUAAUACCUUGCUGUUUUGACGUUACCGACAGAAUAAGCACCGGCUAACUUCGUGCCAGCAGCCGCCGUAA
This 500-nucleotide ribosomal RNA is filed under the name uncultured bacterium. RNAcentral's name for it is "partial 16S ribosomal RNA". It matches the Rfam family "Bacterial small subunit ribosomal RNA", at positions 28 to 523 of the family's 1533-position model. The record is from RNAcentral.